UGGAUAUCGUGGGACCUUCUGCCACAGGGGGAAAUGCCCUCGCGGCAACGAUUACCUGGGGUCGUGUCGUUCUGGGUAUAAUUGCUGUAGGUGGUUGUAGUGUGGCUAAUUGUGGAGAAUCUCCAGGAGUCAUCGCUUUUGACGUCGUGGGAUUCAAGGAAUUGUUGUAGCAAUUUGUCAUUCUCAUUUCAAUAAAAGCAAGAUCUGGGUAGGUUGCA
Non-coding RNA from Pseudopodoces humilis (Tibetan ground-tit), 218 nucleotides. NCBI's taxonomy places the organism in Eukaryota, Metazoa, Chordata, Aves, Passeriformes, Paridae. The record is from RefSeq and is a predicted model, not a curated record.